UUUAGCUGUCCAAAUGACUUUUAGAUAAAGCCACUCAAACUGGGCAUAUAAACCCAAACUCACCAGAGUGAUAUGCUUACAUUUAAAGAGAAUUAAAAAUCUGAGGUUUCAGAAGUUACAAUCACAAAGCUCAAGUGAGAAGAUAGGUCCCGCUGUGGAAGAAAGUGGCCUCCCAGAUAUUGGGUCUAGAAAGUGCUCUUUGGGCCUGGCAAUCAUCCAGAUGAGGAGUAAUGAGGGAUGACAUCCAGAG
This is a non-coding RNA of Callorhinus ursinus (northern fur seal), 250 nucleotides long. NCBI's taxonomy places the organism in Eukaryota, Metazoa, Chordata, Mammalia, Carnivora, Otariidae. The record is from RefSeq and is a predicted model, not a curated record.